Molecule: long non-coding RNA, 988 nt
Filed under: Homo sapiens (human)
Lineage: Eukaryota; Metazoa; Chordata; Mammalia; Primates; Hominidae
Description: HSALNT0042128
Source: RNAcentral
UUUUGUGGCACUGGAGAACUGCAGGCCUUGGGGACAGGCAGGAACUGUACCCUUGGCAGGAACCCUCACUACCUAAGGAUGGGCAAUGGCUUAUGAGUGAGAAACACGGAGCCGUGGGAACUCAGAAUGACAUGCUACCUGGAGAUUGUGGUAAGCCUGAGCACUAUUUUCAUGAAAACUGCCUGCUCAAUCUAUUCUUUAAGGACCUGAAAACCCAGACCCCAAAGGAAUGUUCUGCUUUGCCAACAUUCACUGUCCCGGUGUUUGCUGACUUCACAAACAGAACUUGAUGAAAAUAUGAAAAGACCUGAGAAAGGGUGAAUGUAUGAGAGGAAGAUCCUCUGGGAGCCCAAGGAAUUUACAGAUCCCUGAAUUUUAUCACUGUAGUUACUUUUAAAUUAAAGACAAUAACUGUUCCUUCCAGGUUCUCGUUGACAAAUAAGAAUGCCGAUGUCACUCAAGCAUAUGAUAUGAUAAUCUUUCCCAGAACUGGGAGUAUUCAGAACUAACCAGACAUGGGAACUGUGUUUUUUCAAUGUCUGAGACUUUCUCCUAAUUCCAUCUUAGUCACACGUAGUUACUCAUUACCUUGAAGGGCAUUAAGAGUUUAUCCAUGGCUGCUGUACAUUUUGUGCUGCUUUGCUAAAUCAGGAAAAAAUGCAGACAGCUGAGUCAUAGUUUUCAAUUAGUUUUUCAAUUUCACCAGGAACAAAGUUUUUCAAUAUCUUUAUCAAUUUUGUUGCUUUUCAUAUUACUCUGAUUACAUACUUUGCAGGAUAAUCCAGCCUUUUCCUGAAGUAUAUUAAUAAUGCAUAAUAUAAAUGGGGAGCUGCAUUAUCAAAGUACUCUUAAACAGAGGUGAAAACUUGAAAUCCAGCAAGAUUUAGUGAUUCACAUUCAUGGUCUAUAGAGAUGUGACAGAGGAAAGGAGAAUAAGACAAUUAAGAACCUUGAAAUCAUGACAGGGAUUUAUUACCCAAGAAGAACU